Nicotiana tabacum (common tobacco) is the source of this 1263-nucleotide non-coding RNA. NCBI's taxonomy places the organism in Eukaryota, Viridiplantae, Streptophyta, Magnoliopsida, Solanales, Solanaceae. The record is from RefSeq and is a predicted model, not a curated record.
GGGAUCCAAAACGGUAUUUACUCAGUGAGUAUGCUCUUUUGCGCUUCUCCCUCAUCGGAAACAGAAGAAUUUCUUUUGCCCGUUAAAAACCCUAGCGUAAGAGCAAGCAUUGUCCCUUCGGGGACAUCCGAUAAAAUUGGAACGAUACAGAGAAGAUUAGCAUGGCCCCUGCGCAAGGAUGACACGCACAAAUCGAGAAAUGGUCCAAAUUUUUUUGCCUCCUUGUCGCCGGUGAUGCUCCGGUACCGAGUUACGGUGAAAGUGCCUUCUAUCAUGUUUCAAUACUCUCAUGCUUCCGGCUUUCGGAUCAUCAACCAGGAAGUCUCAAAUUUUACUACAAGUAUUUUUGGCAUAGGCUUUGCUCUCACUUCUCAUACAAUAAUCAAAACUGAAGACUUUGCUGAGACAUGAAAUAGAAGGAUGAAUGGUUUAAAUGAAGGAUCAAACGAUGUUUGUUCUUACUUGUUUGGUUGGGGUCCGAUGCUUGGAUUACUCAUGCAAGUUGCACUAUUCUCAGAUAUCCUAUCUUCUCCUGUUGCUGCAACUAUUCCACAAACUCACAGAAGAAUAUUGCAGUUAAUUAUCUUCACGAAAUAACAUCUUCCUGGUGCAUCUUGAAAUUGGUAUAUUUUUGUGCACUUACUGUCUGCUCCACCAAGUUGAUUAACGGCUUCUAUAAACCUCUCAUGGAGGUCUGGUGUCCAUUUCAAUCUUGGCUUGGCAUCUGUUGACAGGACAAGCCCUGAGUCCCCGUUGCCAUUUCCACCUUGCAGGAACAGAUGUCUUUCAGAGAUAGACAUUCUUGUUGAAGGGUGCAUGCUCUUAUCCUGGCGGUGAUGAUGGUUCAACCAUAUGAUAUCCGGAACCCAUUAGCUCAUCUAAUCCAAAUGUGCGUAGCAGAGACCCAUUUAAGGGAGAAGCGUUCCCUACCGGAAAUUUCUUCAAUCCCAGGGUGAAGACACUGGCUCAAAAUAAAAGGAAAUCAAUGACCACGGAAUGAUAUUCCUUAUGGGGAAAAGGACUUGGGGUUUAAGAUAAAAGUCAGAUUCUGAGGAAUGGAAUUUCAGAAUCUUAACUCAAAACCAAAGCAAUGGACGUAUUCUCAAGUCAAGAAUUUCUUCGUUAUUCUUUUCCUUUUCUAGGCCACGGAAAAUGGAUUCCGAACCCCAUUAUUGUUUUACCCUUUUAAGCUUCUUAACAACUUUAGUAAUUCUGAACGAUCAACAUGCAUAUUUGUGUUCUUAUCAACAUGCGUAUGAUUUA